This 717-nucleotide ribosomal RNA is filed under the name uncultured Achromobacter sp. RNAcentral describes it as "bacterial SSU rRNA". It matches the Rfam family "Bacterial small subunit ribosomal RNA", at positions 20 to 732 of the family's 1533-position model. The record is from RNAcentral. Lineage: Bacteria; Pseudomonadati; Pseudomonadota; Betaproteobacteria; Burkholderiales; Alcaligenaceae.
UGGCUCAGAUUGAACGCUAGCGGGAUGCCUUACACAUGCAAGUCGAACGGCAGCACGGACUUCGGUCUGGUGGCGAGUGGCGAACGGGUGAGUAAUGUAUCGGAACGUGCCUAGUAGCGGGGGAUAACUACGCGAAAGCGUAGCUAAUACCGCAUACGCCCUACGGGGGAAAGCAGGGGAUCGCAAGACCUUGCACUAUUAGAGCGGCCGAUAUCGGAUUAGCUAGUUGGUGGGGUAACGGCUCACCAAGGCGACGAUCCGUAGCUGGUUUGAGAGGACGACCAGCCACACUGGGACUGAGACACGGCCCAGACUCCUACGGGAGGCAGCAGUGGGGAAUUUUGGACAAUGGGGGAAACCCUGAUCCAGCCAUCCCGCGUGUGCGAUGAAGGCCUUCGGGUUGUAAAGCACUUUUGGCAGGAAAGAAACGUCAUGGGUUAAUACCCCGUGAAACUGACGGUACCUGCAGAAUAAGCACCGGCUAACUACGUGCCAGCAGCCGCGGUAAUACGUAGGGUGCAAGCGUUAAUCGGAAUUACUGGGCGUAAAGCGUGCGCAGGCGGUUCGGAAAGAAAGAUGUGAAAUCCCAGAGCUUAACUUUGGAACUGCAUUUUUAACUACCGAGCUAGAGUGUGUCAGAGGGAGGUGGAAUUCCGCGUGUAGCAGUGAAAUGCGUAGAUAUGCGGAGGAACACCGAUGGCGAAGGCAGCCUCCUGG